Brassica oleracea var. oleracea is the source of this 462-nucleotide long non-coding RNA. RefSeq lists it as uncharacterized. The record is from RefSeq and is a predicted model, not a curated record. NCBI's taxonomy places the organism in Eukaryota, Viridiplantae, Streptophyta, Magnoliopsida, Brassicales, Brassicaceae. The transcript has 2 exons.
CAAGCAGAUUCUGGUGAUGGAGAAAACCAUCCUUGGAAACCUCGAAUGGCAAUACGUGUUCCUUGUCCGCUUCAUUACAGCUUCCAUGUCUGACCCAAAGCUUUUACCGAAUGCUCAGAACGAGAGGAAGCUAAUCAACAGUGGUGAUAACAACUUAUUUUUAUCGGCACCGUUUCAAGUCAAGAUUCCGUUGGCCGCAUCAUCACCGACACAGCUGCGGUAUAAAAUUCCUUAUUAGUUUCUCUGUAAGUAUGUUGAAAUCUCUAUGGUCAUCUUGUUUAAAAGACUGGCAUUAUGUCUCUGCUACGGAUUUUUAAACUAAUUUUGUUGUCACUUUCUUUUGUUUGGGAAUUUUUGAAGUUGCUUGAUUGAUAAUAGAAAUUUAUGUGUAUUCAUAAUGUGUAAGCAAACAGAAAGUGACGUCCUGUCAUUAAUUUGACCGUUAGAGAUCGUAUUGUUUCA